AGAGGAUUCCCUAGUAGCGGCGAGCGAAGCGGGAAGAGCUCAAAUUUAUAAUCUGGCACCUUCGGUGUCCGAGUUGUAAUCUCUAGAAGUGUUUUCCGCGUUGGACCGCACACAAGUCUGUUGGAAUACAGCGGCAUAGUGGUGAAACCCCCGUAUAUGGUGCGGACGCCCAGCGCUUUGUGAUACACUUUCAAUGAGUCGAGUUGUUUGGGAAUGCAGCUCAAAUUGGGUGGUAAAUUCCAUCUAAAGCUAAAUAUUGGCGAGAGACCGAUAGCGAACAAGUACCGUGAGGGAAAGAUGAAAAGCACUUUGGAAAGAGAGUUAACAGUACGUGAAAUUGUUGGAAGGGAAACGCUUGAAGUCAGACUUGCUUGCCGGAGCUUGCUUCGGUUUGCAGGCCAGCAUCAGUUUUCCGGGGUGGAUAAUGACGGUUUGAAGGUAGCAGUCUCGGCUGUGUUAUAGCUUUCCGUUGGAUACGCCCUGGGGGACUGAGGAACGCAGCGUGCUUUUUGCGAAAGACUCGUCUUUUUCACGCUUAGGAUGCUGGUGGAAUGGCUUUAAACGACCCGUCUUGAAACCCCCGGGAA
RNAcentral lists this ribosomal RNA (587 nucleotides) under Rhodotorula diobovata. RNAcentral describes it as "LSU rRNA". It matches the Rfam family "Eukaryotic large subunit ribosomal RNA", at positions 69 to 664 of the family's 3401-position model. The record is from RNAcentral. Lineage: Eukaryota; Fungi; Basidiomycota; Microbotryomycetes; Sporidiobolales; Sporidiobolaceae.